UUAGAUCAUAAUAUAUGCAACUCAAAGUGCAUUUAAAUUAUUUUGUACAAAACAUACUUGUUGCUUUAGCGAAUAAGAGAACAUGCAAGGGAAAUUCUUAUUUAGGCUGAUAACAAAAUCAAAAUUAUAUCUACAACUCCAAUCGUAUGUCUAACAAUUUAAAAUAAUUUGACAUAAAAAUAAUCAUAAUAAUGUAUGCAGCCAUCCGACAAAAUUAACCUAAAAGCUUAUAUUUUUCUCCAACCAUCACUAACUCAAAUUAAUUUGUUUAAGUUAAUUAUAGGAGGGAAUCAAGACUUUUAUUGAAAUCCAAGGGUUCAAGCAUAAAACCCACAC
This 336-nucleotide long non-coding RNA is filed under the name Elaeis guineensis (African oil palm). Its description in RNAcentral is "long non-coding RNA (EGUI_LNC018398)". The record is from RNAcentral. Lineage: Eukaryota; Viridiplantae; Streptophyta; Magnoliopsida; Arecales; Arecaceae.